GUACACACUAUACUUAUAUAUAACAAUAAAUAUAUCAAACACAAUUUAUAAUUGCCGAUCGCCCACAAGACUAGAAGGACACCGGAUUUUAUUAUAAUCUAUCAUAACAAACAUAAUAUUUUGCAAUAAUAUAUAUAUACAUAUAAACAAUGCUUUCAAUACAAAAUGAAAACAUUGACUCCGUCAUAAACGAACCCGCCAGCCAGGAAAAACCAACAACCAAGUUACCUUAGUCGAUAUGGAAACCUGUGUCCAAACCCUAAUGCUCGGAAGAUCGUCUCGAGAGGUGUACUUGGACAAUACUGAAAAUUAGCUUAUGUUUACAUAAACAAAAUAUCAUCAAAAUGUGUAAUAGCAAACAAAAAUACCAAUAUAUAGUACAAAAAACAAGAAAAAAUCAAACAAUAAUGAACCAACAAUAAAUCUGAACUUGACCAGUUCGAAGUUGGCGAGAGAAUGGUCUGAUAGGGAAAUUAACCCGC
RNAcentral lists this long non-coding RNA (482 nucleotides) under Mytilus galloprovincialis (Mediterranean mussel). The record is from RNAcentral. Lineage: Eukaryota; Metazoa; Mollusca; Bivalvia; Mytilida; Mytilidae.